AGUAGUUCACAGUGGGCAUAUCAGCUGCAGUAAAGCCUCAGAGAAGAAGUUUCUUCUCCCACAGUCCUCCUUGUGGUAAAGUGACCUCUGCAGCUAGUCGUUAGCCUGCUGUAAAACCAUGGCUCCUCCAGUUGCAGUGUCGCCGUUGAUUAAGACAGCAAGGUACUCUGCUUUGAUUGCUGGCAUCAUCUAUGGCAAAAAGAGAUAUGAUCACCUGAAGCCAAUUGCUGCUGAGGAGAAGAGGAUUGAAGCGGAGGAGAAAAAGGUUCGCGAGGAGCAGGAGCGCAUCGCUAAAGAGCUAGCAGAAGCCAGUGAAGAUACCAUUCUGAAGUAAAGCUGCUCUGCCAUGUGAGGAUGUCUACGUGCAAUUCCCAACCUCUCCCUCCUUUUUCCUGGUGCCGGGUCCCAACAAGUCAAACACUCCCAUGUUGUGGACGUAUUCACUGUUACCUUGUAUAAUAUAACACCUCUCUGGGUUGCCAGAUACAGUGGUUUUUAGGUUAGUUACAGCUCUUGAACUCAGCAUUGUAAUGCUGCAAAUGCAGCAGCACUGCACUCAUAAGUUAUAUAGUUCCUGUUUGUAAUGAAACAAUGUAAUAAAUACAGAAGUACAUGA
Long non-coding RNA from Centropristis striata (black sea bass), 616 nucleotides. RefSeq lists it as uncharacterized. The record is from RefSeq and is a predicted model, not a curated record. Lineage: Eukaryota; Metazoa; Chordata; Actinopteri; Perciformes; Serranidae. The transcript is spliced from 4 exons.